Molecule: ribosomal RNA, 200 nt
Filed under: uncultured bacterium
Lineage: Bacteria
Description: partial 16S ribosomal RNA
Rfam family: Bacterial small subunit ribosomal RNA
Source: RNAcentral
UACGGAGGGGGCAAGCGUUGUUCGGAAUUACUGGGCGUAAAGGGCGUGUAGGCGGUUUGCCAAGUCAGAUGUGAAAGCCCCGGGCUUAACCUGGGAACUGCAUUUGAGACUGGCAGGCUAGAGGUUGGAAGAGGAGAGUGGAAUUCCCAGUGUAGAGGUGAAAUUCGUAGAUAUUGGGAAGAACACCAGUGGCGAAGGCG